CGGACGGGUGAGUAACGCGUGGAAAACCUGCCGUAUACUGGGGGAUAACACUUAGAAAUAGGUGCUAAUACCGCAUAAGCGCACAGCUUCGCAUGAAGCGGUGUGAAAAACUCUGGUGGUAUACGAUGGUUCCGCGUCUGAUUAGCUAGUUGGUGGGGUAAUGGCCUACCAAGGCAACGAUCAGUAGCCGGCCUGAGAGGGUGGACGGCCACAUUGGGACUGAGACACGGCCCAAACUCCUACGGGAGGCAGCAG
This 255-nucleotide ribosomal RNA is filed under the name uncultured bacterium. Its description in RNAcentral is "partial 16S ribosomal RNA". It matches the Rfam family "Bacterial small subunit ribosomal RNA", at positions 99 to 354 of the family's 1533-position model. The record is from RNAcentral.